RNAcentral lists this ribosomal RNA (279 nucleotides) under uncultured Staphylococcus sp. RNAcentral's name for it is "partial 16S ribosomal RNA". It matches the Rfam family "Bacterial small subunit ribosomal RNA", at positions 83 to 355 of the family's 1533-position model. The record is from RNAcentral. Lineage: Bacteria; Bacillati; Bacillota; Bacilli; Caryophanales; Staphylococcaceae.
CCUUUGACGUUAGCGGCGGACGGGUGAGUAACACGUGGGUAACCUACCUAUAAGACUGGGAUAACUUCGGGAAACCGGAGCUAAUACCGGAUAAUAUUUCGAACCGCAUGGUUCGAUAGUGAAAGGUGGUUUUGCUAUCACUUAUAGAUGGACCCGCGCCGUAUUAGCUAGUUGGUAAGGUAACGGCUUACCAAGGCUACGAUACGUAGCCGACCUGAGAGGGUGAUCGGCCACACUGGAACUGAGACACGGUCCAGACUCCUACGGGAGGCAGCAGCC